RNAcentral lists this long non-coding RNA (668 nucleotides) under Musa acuminata (dwarf banana). RNAcentral describes it as "long non-coding RNA (MACU_LNC011723)". The record is from RNAcentral. Lineage: Eukaryota; Viridiplantae; Streptophyta; Magnoliopsida; Zingiberales; Musaceae.
GCAGGAAACAGAGGUAUCACAACCUCUUCUUCUUCUCUUCUCCUUCUUCUCCUCUUCGAACGCCCCACACCUCUCCUCUGUUUCCACCUGCAGGAAACAGGGGUGCUGCAGCCCUAGUUGCUGCCACCUCUCGCUCCUCUCCCUCUUCCCUCUCCUCUUUCUUCUUCUAUUAUUCUCUUCUCCCUCUUCUUCCUCCUCUCUUCUUUUCCCUCUUCUUCUUCUUUUCUUCUUCUCCUCUUCUUCCUUUCUCCUCCCCAACGCCCCACAGCUCCUCGCUGCAGCCACCUCUUUUCUUUUUCUUCUUCUUCUACUUCUUCUUCUUUUUCUCUUCUCCCUCUUCUUCCUCUCUUCGUCUCCCCACACCCCACCGCUCCUCUCUCUGUUCGAGAAACAGAGAGCGUGGGAGGCGGUGGGAUAAAACCGAAAUUUUCGGUUUUCUUUAUUUUUUUCUUUUUGCAACUUAGCAGUUUAGUCUUUGAAAUUUCUAUAUUUACAUAUAGGUCCUCCAAUUUACAUAUAAGUCCUUAUUAAUAAAUUUUCAAAAGUGAGGGAUAUUACACUCUCCCCCCCUUAAAAGAAAAUUUAGUCCUCUAAAUUGAUCAUAGCUCAAUCGAUGAAAAGAUGAGGAUUAUGAUUUCUUUAUUUCUUUCUCUUGCUCUCAAAUAAUU